AUAUCUUCGGCAUCAAGAACCAUUAUGCAGUCUUCAAUUUUCAUUUUUGUUUUCAAGCCUAAGAUAAGAGCUCUCGGAAAUGAAGAGAAGAGGAAAAACAAAGGGAAAAUCUGGGUAAUUUUUAUAUUGAUUAUUAUUUCAUCUUUUACGGAUAAUUUUUUCAUAUAAUUAAGAAAAAAACAUUUGUUGAGUGUAGAUUGAGGACUUUGAUAUUAUAGCUAUGCUUUGGGUGGAAAGUUAAACCAGAAGUUAUUAGAUAAUCUCGAAUUAUUAUGUGCGAUGAUCUCAUUCAAUUUUUAUUGUUACGUAUAUUUAAGUUUUUUAAUUUAUUGAAAAUAAUUAAUAAUACCUGAUUAAUUAUAUAUUAUGUAAAAAUUAAUUAAAAUCGUAAUAGUACUUGGAUCAUCUAAUAGUUAUUUCAAAGUAAAUGUUGUACACAACAUGUCGAAUUUGUGAGAGAAAAAAAAUUUGAAUUCGAUUCUCACAAUAUAUUUUUGAGAGAAAUGAAAAAUUUUAAGUGUGAUAAGUCUGAAAUCAAAUUAUAAUAUUAUUUUUAAUAAAAAAGUAAACAUUGUACCCUCAAAAGUGGUUGGAACUUUAUCAUAGGUUUGUAAUGAAUUCCAUAACCUCUAUGUCUCAAUUUUUUAUAAGUAAUUAAAAUUAAGUAGACACUUGUUUUUUCAAAUAUAAUGAAUGCUCUUAGAUUAUACUAAUAGAAUCUCCCAAUUAAGUGACCGGUAGAUAAGUAAUAAGUAACACAAAAAAGUCAUAGCGACAGAGAACAUAUUGUCAUGUAAGCAGUAUGUGUUUGUAUUAAUUUUCAUUAUCAUUUUUGUUGAACACCAAUUUUCUUCAGUUACGUUAGAAUGAAUUGAACAGAGAAAGAUCAUAUUGUAAUAUCAGGUAGUGUGUGCUUGUAUUUUCGCUACCAACCCUGUUAAACUUUAAUCCACCAAUUUUCCUCGAUUACAUUAGAAUCGAUCUAUUGAACUGUGUCUGAAGGGGCAAUGCAAAUGCAAACACAUCCUUAAUUGUUCAAUUGUCACAAGCCCUAGUCUUUUAUGUGUGAUGUUAGUACCUUCAAUUGACGAAAUUCAGCUGAACUUUACUUUAUUGCUUUUCUUUAUUCCAAGUACAUAUUAUGAGAUCCAUAGACACACACUACCUGGAGAGAAAGGAAAACACAUAACAUACUAUAUAUAGCUUCUAGAUGCCCAUUUUCUUAGACCACUUUAUAAAACUAACAGAUACAAACAGCAUAUCAUUAAUAACUUAUAAACCAUACCCUUAAACCCUCUAAAUCUAGAGUUUCUUCAUCUUCAAAGUGUCAAGAAACCUACCCUUUGUGAUAUCAUUGCCGGAUAUGAAGUCCAGAAAUUCCCUAAAGCAGAAUUCUUUGUAGGAUUUGGGGUGCUGGUCAUUAACAAGUUCAAGUGCUGGACCCAUCUUUCUGUCCAUUGCAAAACUGUGAAGGCUCACAAUGGAAAACCUCUUGUCAU
Molecule: long non-coding RNA, 1499 nt
Filed under: Glycine max (soybean)
Lineage: Eukaryota; Viridiplantae; Streptophyta; Magnoliopsida; Fabales; Fabaceae
Description: long non-coding RNA (GMAX_LNC002079)
Source: RNAcentral